AUGAGAACUUGCCCCUCGGGGUAGAUCUCCCACCCUCUGUGAACUUACCCAUGUUGCUUUGGCAGGCCCGUCCUCGGGCCGCCGGCUCCGGCUGGCCAGCGCCUGCCAGAGGAUCUUCAAACCCUGCCUGUCAGUGUUGUCUGAGUCUAUAUAUAAUUGUCA
Molecule: unclassified non-coding RNA, 162 nt
Filed under: uncultured Dothideomycetes
Lineage: Eukaryota; Fungi; Ascomycota; Dothideomycetes
Description: sequence contains ITS1
Source: RNAcentral